AACGAACGCUGGCGGCAGGCUUAACACAUGCAAGUCGAACGCAUCCUUCGGGGUGAGUGGCAGACGGGUGAGUAACGCGUGGGAACGUGCCCUUCAGUUCGGGAUAACCCAGGGAAACUUGAGCUAAUACUGGAUACGUGCGAGAGCAGAAAGAUUUAUCGCUGAAGGAUCGGCCCGCGUCUGAGUAGCUAGUUGGUGGGGUAAUGGGCCACCAAGGCGACGAUCAGUAGCGGGUCUGGGAGGAUGAGCAGCCAAACUGGGACUGAGACACGGCCCAGACUCCUACGGGAGGCAGCAGUGGGGAAUAUUGGACAAUGGGCGCAAGCCUGAUCCAGCCAUGCCGCGUGAGUGAUGAAGGCCUUAGGGUUGUAAAGCUCUUUCAGUGGGGACGAUAAUGACGGUACCCGCAGAAGAAGCCCCGGCUAACUUCGUGCCAGCCGCCGCCGUAA
This 449-nucleotide ribosomal RNA is filed under the name uncultured bacterium. RNAcentral's name for it is "partial 16S ribosomal RNA". It matches the Rfam family "Bacterial small subunit ribosomal RNA", at positions 29 to 523 of the family's 1533-position model. The record is from RNAcentral.